This 38-nucleotide non-coding RNA is filed under the name Prorocentrum micans. The record is from RNAcentral. Lineage: Eukaryota; Dinophyceae; Prorocentrales; Prorocentraceae.
CAAAUGAAACAAAAAAAAAAAAAAAAAAAAAAAAAAAA